Octopus sinensis (East Asian common octopus) is the source of this 804-nucleotide long non-coding RNA. RefSeq lists it as uncharacterized. The transcript is spliced from 2 exons. Lineage: Eukaryota; Metazoa; Mollusca; Cephalopoda; Octopoda; Octopodidae. The record is from RefSeq and is a predicted model, not a curated record.
ACAAUAUAAGAAUGUACGAUCAUUGCGCAUUGCGUUUACAUUUUUGCACAUCAACAACAUGGUGGGAGAAUUCUUAAUUUAAGUUUGUUGAGAUCAACAUACCAAGAUAUUUCAUACAAGACAGUCAGGUAAACUGACUUCUGACUGACUGUUCAAAGAAGGCUUCAAAAGUAACUAUUAGCAACUCCUUUUGAAAAUGGAUGAAAUUUGGCAUUGUGGUGUUAUCAAGUACCUGCAGAAAAAGGGUUUAAACCCCAAAGAGAUUCAUGCUGACAUGGCUGCUACAUUAGGGGAUGAUGCUCCAGCUUUAUCAACAGUGCUAAAGUGGACAGCUGAAUUUAGGAGAGAAAGGAAGAAUAUUGAAGAUGAGCCAAGGUCUGCAUGUCCUGCAACUGCCACCACUGACAAAAACGUUGAUUGUGUGGAUGACAGGUGAUUGACUAUAAAUCAAAUAGCUAAUGCUAUUAGCGAAUUCCAUGAGAGAGUUGAGAACAUACUGCACACACUGAGCUUGGCAUAAUGACGGUUUCUGCUCUGUUGGUGGAAAAAGAAAAGAAAUAGAGGCAGUGGAUUAACAGAAUUGUUAGAGUGCUGGAUAACAUGUUAAUAGUAUUUAGUUAUAUUUCUUUGUGUUCUGAGUUCAAACCCCACCAAAGUUAAUUUUGUAUUUCAUCCUUCCAAGAUCAUUUAUCAUAACAUGAACAAUAAAGCAUAAUUAAAAUUUGGACAAAAAGAACAAAGAAGAUACAUAACAGUUGUAAAGCACCAUGCAUUUACAGGUUAAUAAAUCAAUUAAAAACUAAA